Molecule: ribosomal RNA, 662 nt
Filed under: uncultured crenarchaeote AM-20A_102
Lineage: Archaea; Thermoproteati; Thermoproteota
Description: bacterial SSU rRNA
Rfam family: Archaeal small subunit ribosomal RNA
Source: RNAcentral
UGACUGCUAUCGGAUUGAUACUAAGCCAUGCGAGUCAUUGUAGCAAUACAAGGCAUACGGCUCAGUAACGCGUAGUCAACCUAACCUAUGGACGGGAAUAACCUCGGGAAACUGAGAAUAAUGCCCGAUAGAACACUAUACCUGGAAUGGUUUGUGUUCCAAAUGAUUUAUCGCCAUAGGAUGGGACUGCGGCCUAUCAGUUUGUUGGUGAGGUAAUGGCCCACCAAGACUAUUACAGGUACGGGCUCUGAGAGGAGUAGCCCGGAGAUGGGUACUGAGACACGGACCCAGGCCCUAUGGGGCGCAGCAGGCGAGAAAACUUUGCAAUGUGCGAAAGCACGACAAGGUUAAUCCGAGUGAUUUGUGCUAAACGAAUCUUUUGUUAGUCCUAGAAACACUAACGAAUAAGGGGUGGGCAAGUUCUGGUGUCAGCCGCCGCGGUAAAACCAGCACCUCAAGUGGUCAGGAUGAUUAUUGGGCCUAAAGCAUCCGUAGCCGGCUCUGUAAGUUUUCGGUUAAAUCUGUACGCUUAACGUACAGGCUGCCGGGAAUACUGCAGAACUAGGGAAUGGGAGAAGUAGACCGUACUCCGUAGGAAGUGGUAAAAUGCUUUGAUCUAUCGAUGACCACCUGUGGCCAAGGCGGUCUACCAGAACACGUUC